ACUUCCUGUUAGCCGUGAGCGCAUGCGUGAAUAGAAGAUAUCAAAGAACAUUUGCAGACCGAUGCCUCACGCAAGGAAUUGGAAUUUGUUUUGAAAGAAUCUUUGUCGUCGUGAUUGCGGUUAUAGUUAUGUACAGGGAUGAAAUGAUGUUCUAAGUGAUUUACUUAGUAUCUACGUUUGUUGCUGCAAUCAAUAUUUUUAAAGUGUUAUUGAACUGGGCAUAAACAUGGCUUUAAGAUUGGCUUUCGGCCAUAUAUCAUCCAGGAUCACGUCAAGAAUAAUGUAUGCUAAUAUGAUCGCUACAACAUGUUUUCAAACGAACUUCAACACACUUCGCAACGCUACUUUUUGGAGUGUACGGAAUGUUCACUGUAACCUACUACCUCCGGUGUGCCCUAUGCUGACAUCGGCUUGUGGAUUCAAAAUGAAAGCCAGGCUUAAAAGACGCUGUAAGGAUUGCUAUUUUGUCAUGAGGCAAGACAGACUGUAUGUUAUGUGCAAAACUCAUCCGCGACAUAAACAGAUGGCAAUCAAACCUCCGGAAAAGAAGACUUGGAUAUUAACACACGCCACACAAGGAAAAAUAAGACCAUGGUAACACAUUACACAGAUACAGAUAUGCUUCAGAUGAAAAUCUUGCAUAAGCGCUAUGAUCUCUUAGCAAAGGGACAAGCCCUAUUGAAAGAGCUGGUUGGUUGUUACUUAGUAAUUAAAUGAAAACAAGUCGAAUAUUUUUAGCAGUUAAUCAUUUAUUGCAGAUAAGACAUUGCGUUAUUUGAAAUAGGAAAAUGAGUAUAAAUGAAUUCACUUCAGAACAUUAUCUACUUGGAAUUAUAUUUCCCAUUUAGAUGUUACGUGUUGCAUUUGUGAACUCUCAGAUUGACUAUAAUUUCAGUUUCAAGUGAGUGUAUGAUCAGCAGCAUGGAUAACACCUGAAAAUGCCAUUUUUAUUCUCAAAUUGAUAUUGUUAUGAAGUAAAUUUCUUUAUGAAGUCUUUUUGACAAAUUUACACCUAUAGACUCCAUAAAUCAUGAUGCAGAAGUGGAUACUGUGAGUUAUUUACUCCUCAGUACAUUAUCAUCCACUAUAUGGCCGAAAGUCUCCAAACACCUGUUGCUGUUUUGUCACAAAGAUUUCAUGUAUGCUACUUAUGGUUUCAGCAGUCAAUCUUGAAAAAGUCUCUCUGGUACAUUUAGGUAUCCAGAUACAUUGUUUUGCGUUAUUUAUGCAGUUUCAGCCAGAUGGAUGUUUAUUAAAUCGAUUGGAUGUUCUUUCA
Molecule: long non-coding RNA, 1276 nt
Organism: Schistocerca gregaria
Lineage: Eukaryota; Metazoa; Arthropoda; Insecta; Orthoptera; Acrididae
Exons: 2
Source: RefSeq, a predicted model, not a curated record